UACGGAGGGUGCGAGCGUUGUCCGGAAUCACUGGGCGUAAAGGGCGCGUAGGUGGCGCGGGAAGUCAACGGUGAAAGCUCAGGGCUCAACCCUGAGUCGGCCGUCGAUACUCCUGGGCUCGAGCACUGUAGAGGCAGAUGGAAUUCCGGGUGUAGCGGUGGAAUGCGUAGAGAUCCGGAAGAACACCGGUGGCGAAGGCGGUCUGCUGGGCAGUAGCUGACACUGAGGCGCGACAGCGUGGGGAGCAAACGGG
RNAcentral lists this ribosomal RNA (253 nucleotides) under uncultured bacterium. RNAcentral describes it as "partial 16S ribosomal RNA". It matches the Rfam family "Bacterial small subunit ribosomal RNA", at positions 524 to 776 of the family's 1533-position model. The record is from RNAcentral.